Molecule: unclassified non-coding RNA, 392 nt
Filed under: soil metagenome
Description: partial contains 5.8S ribosomal RNA, internal transcribed spacer 2, and large subunit ribosomal RNA
Rfam family: 5.8S ribosomal RNA (bases 1-120)
Source: RNAcentral
GAUGAAGAACGCAGCGAAAUGCGAUAAGUAAUGUGAAUUGCAGAAUUCAGUGAAUCAUCGAAUCUUUGAACGCAUCUUGCGCUCCUUGGUAUUCCGAGGAGCAUGCCUGUUUGAGUGUCAUUUAACUUCUCAACCACAUUGGAUAUUUUUUUUCCGAUGCCGGCUUGGAUGUGGGGGUUGUUUGCAGGCUUUUUGUAACAAAAAAGGUCGGCUCCCCUGAAAUGUAUUAGUGGUAUCUGAGGCUAUUACUAUUAGGUGUGAUAAUUAUCUAUGCCUUUUGGGUAUGCCGCAUGAACAGAUUAUGCUGCUUCUAACGAAAACUAUUUUGAUGAAUUUGACCUCAAAUCAGGUAGGACUACUCGCUGAACUUAAGCAUAUCAAUAAGCGGAGGA